RNAcentral lists this transfer RNA (98 nucleotides) under Heterodermia speciosa. RNAcentral's name for it is "tRNA-Leu". It matches the Rfam family "tRNA". Rfam says of the family: Transfer RNA (tRNA) molecules are approximately 80 nucleotides in length. Their secondary structure includes four short double-helical elements and three loops (D, anti-codon, and T loops). Further hydrogen bonds mediate the characteristic L-shaped molecular structure. tRNAs have two regions of fundamental functional importance: the anti-codon, which is responsible for specific mRNA codon recognition, and the 3' end, to which the tRNAs corresponding amino acid is attached (by aminoacyl-tRNA synthetases). tRNAs cope with the degeneracy of the genetic code in two manners: having more than one tRNA (with a specific anti-codon) for a particular amino acid; and 'wobble' base-pairing, i.e. permitting non-standard base-pairing at the 3rd anti-codon position. The record is from RNAcentral. Lineage: Eukaryota; Fungi; Ascomycota; Lecanoromycetes; Caliciales; Physciaceae.
AGCAGGAAGUGGCCGAGUGGUUAUGGCGCCACGUUUAGGUCUCACAUUCUUGAAGCCCGUGGUUCGAAAGAGCGUGGGUUCGAAUCCCAUCUUCGUCA